UACGAAGGGGGCUAGCGUUGUUCGGAAUCACUGGGCUUAAAGCGUGUAUAGGCGGAUCGUUAAGUGUCUUGUGAAAUCCCACGGCUCACCCGUGGAACUGCUGGGCAUACUGGCGAUCUUGGGCCAACUAGGGGCAACUGGAACAAGCGGUGGAGCGGUGAAAUGCGUAGAUAUCGCUUGGAACGCCAAAGGUGAAAACAGGUUGCUGGGGUUGUGCCGACGCUGAGACACGAAAGCCAGGGGAGCAAACGGG
This 253-nucleotide ribosomal RNA is filed under the name uncultured bacterium. RNAcentral's name for it is "partial 16S ribosomal RNA". It matches the Rfam family "Bacterial small subunit ribosomal RNA", at positions 524 to 776 of the family's 1533-position model. The record is from RNAcentral.